CCUACGGGAGGCAGCAGUGAGGAAUAUUGGUCAAUGGGCGGGAGCCUGAACCAGCCAAGUCGCGUGAGGGAAGACGGUCCUAUGGAUUGUAAACUUCUUUAGGCGGGGAGCAAUGCCGUGCACGUGUGGCCUGAGGGAGAGUACCCGCAGAAUAAGCAUCGGCUAACUCCGUGCCAGCAGCCGCGGUAAUACGGAGGAUGCGAGCGUUAUCCGGAGUUAUUGGGUUUAAAGGGUGCGUAGGCGGAUUUUUAAGUCAGCGGUAAAAUGUCCGGGCUCAACCCGGGCCGGCCGUUGAAACUGGGGAUCUUGAGUGGGCGAGAAGUAUGCGGAAUGCGUGGUGUAGCGGUGAAAUGCAUAGAUAUCACGCAGAACUCCGAUUGCGAAGGCAGCAUACCGGCGCCCGACUGACGCUGAGGCACGAAAGCGUGGGGAUCGAACAGGAUUAGAUGCCCCUGUAGUC
RNAcentral lists this ribosomal RNA (460 nucleotides) under uncultured bacterium. Its description in RNAcentral is "partial 16S ribosomal RNA". It matches the Rfam family "Bacterial small subunit ribosomal RNA", at positions 338 to 795 of the family's 1533-position model. The record is from RNAcentral.